This 74-nucleotide transfer RNA is filed under the name Rhizobium sp. L51/94. RNAcentral describes it as "tRNA-Met". It matches the Rfam family "tRNA". Rfam says of the family: Transfer RNA (tRNA) molecules are approximately 80 nucleotides in length. Their secondary structure includes four short double-helical elements and three loops (D, anti-codon, and T loops). The record is from RNAcentral. Lineage: Bacteria; Pseudomonadati; Pseudomonadota; Alphaproteobacteria; Hyphomicrobiales; Rhizobiaceae.
UGGCAGGGUGGGGAAGAGGUCAUCCCAUCUGGUUCAUACCCAGAAGAUCGCAGGUUCAAAUCCUGCCCCUGCAA